Molecule: unclassified non-coding RNA, 587 nt
Filed under: Aspergillus europaeus
Lineage: Eukaryota; Fungi; Ascomycota; Eurotiomycetes; Eurotiales; Aspergillaceae
Description: sequence contains 18S rRNA gene, ITS1, 5.8S rRNA gene, ITS2, 28S rRNA gene
Rfam family: 5.8S ribosomal RNA (bases 221-374)
Source: RNAcentral
GUAACAAGGUUUCCGUAGGUGAACCUGCGGAAGGAUCAUUACCGAGUGAGGACCUAACCGGUCCAACCUCCCACCCGUGUCUAUCGUACCUUGUUGCUUCGGCGGGCCCGCCAUUCGUGGCCGCCGGGGGGCAUUUCGCCCCCGGGCCCGCGCCCGCCGGAGACACCAACACGAACACUGUCUGAAGGUUGCAGUCUGAGUCGAUUUAUUUAAUCGUUAAAACUUUCAACAACGGAUCUCUUGGUUCCGGCAUCGAUGAAGAACGCAGCGAAAUGCGAUAAUUAAUGUGAAUUGCAGAAUUCAGUGAAUCAUCGAGUCUUUGAACGCACAUUGCGCCCCCUGGUAUUCCGGGGGGCAUGCCUGUCCGAGCGUCAUUGCUGCCCUCAAGCACGGCUUGUGUGUUGGGUCGCCGUCCCCUUCCCGGGGGACGGGCCCGAAAGGCAGCGGCGGCACCGCGUCCGGUCCUCGAGCGUAUGGGGCUUUGUCACCCGCUCUGUAGGCCCGGCCGGCGCCUGCCGACCACCAACCUUUUUUUAACCAGGUUGACCUCGGAUCAGGUAGGGAUACCCGCUGAACUUAAGCAUAUC